Small nuclear RNA from Camelus dromedarius (Arabian camel), 134 nucleotides. The record is from Ensembl. Lineage: Eukaryota; Metazoa; Chordata; Mammalia; Artiodactyla; Camelidae.
GAAAAAGGCAUCUGUCGUGAGUGGCAAACAUAGGGCAGCUCGAUUGCUUUUCACGUGGAAUCGACAUCAAGAGAUUUUGGAAGUCUAAUUAUUUGGUGUUUGGGCAGCUGGAGAUUGUUGGUCCUGGUGCCUGU